This 84-nucleotide non-coding RNA is filed under the name human gut metagenome. Its description in RNAcentral is "Cyclic di-GMP-I riboswitch". It matches the Rfam family "c-di-GMP-I riboswitch aptamer", at positions 6 to 83 of the family's 87-position model. Rfam says of the family: GEMM was predicted in a large-scale screen for bacterial structured RNA regulatory elements. Genes associated with GEMM are involved in a diverse array of functions, including chemotaxis regulation, signal transduction, secretion and chitin. The record is from RNAcentral.
AAAAAGGCAAACUGCCAGAAAUGGCAGGACGCAAAAUCAUGGGCCUAAGGCCGCUUUGUAAGGCGGCUAUGGUCGCCAGACUGC